UUAAGCGACUAAGCGUACACGGUGGAUGCCCUGGCAGUCAGAGGCGAUGAAGGACGUGCUAAUCUGCGAUAAGCGUCGGUAAGGUGAUAUGAACCGUUAUAACCGGCGAUUUCCGAAUGGGGAAACCCAGUGUGUUUCGACACACUAUCAUUAACUGAAUCCAUAGGUUAAUGAGGCGAACCGGGGGAACUGAAACAUCUAAGUACCCCGAGGAAAAGAAAUCAACCGAGAUUCCCCCAGUAGCGGCGAGCGAACGGGGAGCAGCCCAGAGCCUGAAUCAGUGUGUGUGUUAGUGGAAGCGUCUGGAAAGGCGCGCGAUACAGGGUGACAGCCCCGUACACAAAAAUGCACAUGCUGUGAGCUCGAUGAGUAGGGCGGGACACGUGGUAUCCUGUCUGAAUAUGGGGGGACCAUCCUCCAAGGCUAAAUACUCCUGACUGACCGAUAGUGAACCAGUACCGUGAGGGAAAGGCGAAAAGAACCCCGGCGAGGGGAGUGAAAAAGAACCUGAAACCGUGUACGUACAAGCAGUGGGAGCACGCUUAGGCGUGUGACUGCGUACCUUUUGUAUAAUGGGUCAGCGACUUAUAUUCUGUAGCAAGGUUAACCGAAUAGGGGAGCCGAAGGGAAACCGAGUCUUAACUGGGCGUUAAGUUGCAGGGUAUAGACCCGAAACCCGGUGAUCUAGCCAUGGGCAGGUUGAAGGUUGGGUAACACUAACUGGAGGACCGAACCGACUAAUGUUGAAAAAUUAGCGGAUGACUUGUGGCUGGGGGUGAAAGGCCAAUCAAACCGGGAGAUAGCUGGUUCUCCCCGAAAGCUAUUUAGGUAGCGCCUCGUGAACUCAUCUCCGGGGGUAGAGCACUGUUUCGGCAAGGGGGUCAUCCCGACUUACCAACCCGAUGCAAACUGCGAAUACCGGAGAAUGUUAUCACGGGAGACACACGGCGGGUGCUAACGUCCGUCGUGAAGAGGGAAACAACCCAGACCGCCAGCUAAGGUCCCAAAGUCAUGGUUAAGUGGGAAACGAUGUGGGAAGGCCCAGACAGCCAGGAUGUUGGCUUAGAAGCAGCCAUCAUUUAAAGAAAGCGUAAUAGCUCACUGGUCGAGUCGGCCUGCGCGGAAGAUGUAACGGGGCUAAACCAUGCACCGAAGCUGCGGCAGCGACGCUUAUGCGUUGUUGGGUAGGGGAGCGUUCUGUAAGCCUGUGAAGGUGUACUGUGAGGUAUGCUGGAGGUAUCAGAAGUGCGAAUGCUGACAUAAGUAACGAUAAAGCGGGUGAAAAGCCCGCUCGCCGGAAGACCAAGGGUUCCUGUCCAACGUUAAUCGGGGCAGGGUGAGUCGACCCCUAAGGCGAGGCCGAAAGGCGUAGUCGAUGGGAAACAGGUUAAUAUUCCUGUACUUGGUGUUACUGCGAAGGGGGGACGGAGAAGGCUAUGUUGGCCGGGCGACGGUUGUCCCGGUUUAAGCGUGUAGGCUGGUUUUCCAGGCAAAUCCGGAAAAUCAAGGCUGAGGCGUGAUGACGAGGCACUACGGUGCUGAAGCAACAAAUGCCCUGCUUCCAGGAAAAGCCUCUAAGCAUCAGGUAACAUCAAAUCGUACCCCAAACCGACACAGGUGGUCAGGUAGAGAAUACCAAGGCGCUUGAGAGAACUCGGGUGAAGGAACUAGGCAAAAUGGUGCCGUAACUUCGGGAGAAGGCACGCUGAUAUGUAGGUGAAGUCCCUCGCGGAUGGAGCUGAAAUCAGUCGAAGAUACCAGCUGGCUGCAACUGUUUAUUAAAAACACAGCACUGUGCAAACACGAAAGUGGACGUAUACGGUGUGACGCCUGCCCGGUGCCGGAAGGUUAAUUGAUGGGGUUAGCCGCAAGGCGAAGCUCUUGAUCGAAGCCCCGGUAAACGGCGGCCGUAACUAUAACGGUCCUAAGGUAGCGAAAUUCCUUGUCGGGUAAGUUCCGACCUGCACGAAUGGCGUAAUGAUGGCCAGGCUGUCUCCACCCGAGACUCAGUGAAAUUGAACUCGCUGUGAAGAUGCAGUGUACCCGCGGCAAGACGGAAAGACCCCGUGAACCUUUACUAUAGCUUGACACUGAACAUUGAGCCUUGAUGUGUAGGAUAGGUGGGAGGCUUUGAAGUGUGGACGCCAGUCUGCAUGGAGCCGACCUUGAAAUACCACCCUUUAAUGUUUGAUGUUCUAACGUUGACCCGUAAUCCGGGUUGCGGACAGUGUCUGGUGGGUAGUUUGACUGGGGCGGUCUCCUCCUAAAGAGUAACGGAGGAGCACGAAGGUUGGCUAAUCCUGGUCGGACAUCAGGAGGUUAGUGCAAUGGCAUAAGCCAGCUUGACUGCGAGCGUGACGGCGCGAGCAGGUGCGAAAGCAGGUCAUAGUGAUCCGGUGGUUCUGAAUGGAAGGGCCAUCGCUCAACGGAUAAAAGGUACUCCGGGGAUAACAGGCUGAUACCGCCCAAGAGUUCAUAUCGACGGCGGUGUUUGGCACCUCGAUGUCGGCUCAUCACAUCCUGGGGCUGAAGUAGGUCCCAAGGGUAUGGCUGUUCGCCAUUUAAAGUGGUACGCGAGCUGGGUUUAGAACGUCGUGAGACAGUUCGGUCCCUAUCUGCCGUGGGCGCUGGAGAACUGAGGGGGGCUGCUCCUAGUACGAGAGGACCGGAGUGGACGCAUCACUGGUGUUCGGGUUGUCAUGCCAAUGGCACUGCCCGGUAGCUAAAUGCGGAAGAGAUAAGUGCUGAAAGCAUCUAAGCACGAAACUUGCCCCGAGAUGAGUUCUCCCUGACUCCUUGAGAGUCCUGAAGGAACGUUGAAGACGACGACGUUGAUAGGCCGGGUGUGUAAGCGCAGCGAUGCGUUGAGCUAACCGGUACUAAUGAACCGUGAGGCUUAACCUU
RNAcentral lists this ribosomal RNA (2904 nucleotides) under Escherichia coli. Its description in RNAcentral is "bacterial LSU rRNA". It matches the Rfam family "Bacterial large subunit ribosomal RNA". Lineage: Bacteria; Pseudomonadati; Pseudomonadota; Gammaproteobacteria; Enterobacterales; Enterobacteriaceae. The record is from RNAcentral.